Molecule: unclassified non-coding RNA, 392 nt
Filed under: Hevea brasiliensis (rubber tree)
Lineage: Eukaryota; Viridiplantae; Streptophyta; Magnoliopsida; Malpighiales; Euphorbiaceae
Source: RNAcentral
UGUAUUUGUAGCUGCAGAGUAUGAAACCCCAAAAAAUUCCUUGAACCAGGUUUCACUUUGGGAUGCAAUCAUACCAACGAAAGAACAUGCAAACUUUUGGAUCCAAACUGCAAACAAAUAUCGUUUUGUUGACCAGGGGAGCAAUCUUCGUGGUAAAGAAUUCAAUUUGACUUUGCACUGGCAUGUCAUGCCCAAGACCGGCAAAAUGUUUGCCGACAAAAUAGUCAUGUCCGGAUACCGCUUGCCUGAGGAAUAUAGAUGAGGAUGGGAUAUUUUGUGUACCUUUUUGAGCUGUAACUUAAGACAUUUAAAUAUGGGAUGAUAAAGUUAGGCUGAAUUAAAAAAACUAGAAACAGAGAAACGAAUAUUGUUGAAAAAGAAAAUGAUUAUUG